Molecule: long non-coding RNA, 513 nt
Filed under: Meriones unguiculatus (Mongolian gerbil)
Lineage: Eukaryota; Metazoa; Chordata; Mammalia; Rodentia; Muridae
Description: lncRNA (ENSMUGG00000019713.1)
Source: RNAcentral
GUCAGAGCUGGGAAGAGGCCAAGAAAGAAGAGAGCAUCUCAGCGUAGCAGCCCUUGAACGGAAUCUAUCCCAGAACUUAGAAAUACUUUCUUGGACAACCGUUUCUCCAAGAAAGAAAAAAGAGCCAGCUAAAUGUAACAGCCAUCCUGGGUGGGAUCCUGGGACAGAAAGCCAAUCUGCAGAACCCUUGAGUAGUGGCUCAAGGUCAGCAUUGGAGAGGCAGAAGCAAGAAAAUUGCUUCCAGCUGAAGGCCAACCAGAGCUACAGAAUGAGACUCUUGUCUUCAGAAGAAGUAGGUAAAGGCUAAGAAAAUAGUAAUUAAGUGAUAACAGUACACUCAUAUUAGUUUAUUGAUGAUAGCAUGCUAAUAUAAGAUGCUAAUGGCAGACUAGAGAAACUAGGGCCGAUAUUCUUUAAACUGGCAUAGUAAAUGACUGUAGUUACUUGAGCCCAUUUUGUAAGAAGAACUGGGUAUAGAAAGUGAUCGUUUCUCACCUUGCUAAAAUCCUCCAG